GCCGUCAUAGCUCAGUUGGAUAGAGCACAGGACUUCUAAUCCUGGGGUCGUGGGUUCGAGCCCAUUGUCGGUA
Molecule: transfer RNA, 73 nt
Filed under: Naegleria gruberi
Lineage: Eukaryota; Heterolobosea; Eutetramitea; Acrasida; Naegleriidae
Description: tRNA-Arg (TCT) (tRNA-Arg-TCT-3-1)
Rfam family: tRNA
About the family: Transfer RNA (tRNA) molecules are approximately 80 nucleotides in length. Their secondary structure includes four short double-helical elements and three loops (D, anti-codon, and T loops). Further hydrogen bonds mediate the characteristic L-shaped molecular structure. tRNAs have two regions of fundamental functional importance: the anti-codon, which is responsible for specific mRNA codon recognition, and the 3' end, to which the tRNAs corresponding amino acid is attached (by aminoacyl-tRNA synthetases). tRNAs cope with the degeneracy of the genetic code in two manners: having more than one tRNA (with a specific anti-codon) for a particular amino acid; and 'wobble' base-pairing, i.e. permitting non-standard base-pairing at the 3rd anti-codon position.
Source: Rfam by way of RNAcentral